RNAcentral lists this ribosomal RNA (744 nucleotides) under uncultured bacterium. RNAcentral's name for it is "bacterial SSU rRNA". It matches the Rfam family "Bacterial small subunit ribosomal RNA", at positions 8 to 796 of the family's 1533-position model. The record is from RNAcentral.
AGAGUUUGAUCAUGGCUCAGAGCGAACGCUGGCGGCAGGCUUAACACAUGCAAGUCGAGCGGGCGUAGCAAUACGUCAGCGGCAGACGGGUGAGUAACGCGUGGGAACGUACCUUUUGGUUCGGAACAACACAGGGAAACUUGUGCUAAUACCGGAUAAGCCCUUACGGGGAAAGAUUUAUCGCCGAAAGAUCGGCCCGCGUCUGAUUAGCUAGUUGGUGAGGUAAUGGCUCACCAAGGCGACGAUCAGUAGCUGGUCUGAGAGGAUGAUCAGCCACAUUGGGACUGAGACACGGCCCAAACUCCUACGGGAGGCAGCAGUGGGGAAUAUUGGACAAUGGGCGCAAGCCUGAUCCAGCCAUGCCGCGUGAGUGAUGAAGGCCCUAGGGUUGUAAAGCUCUUUUGUGCGGGAAGAUAAUGACGGUACCGCAAGAAUAAGCCCCGGCUAACUUCGUGCCAGCAGCCGCGGUAAUACGAAGGGGGCUAGCGUUGCUCGGAAUCACUGGGCGUAAAGGGUGCGUAGGCGGGUCUUUAAGUCAGGGGUGAAAUCCUGGAGCUCAACUCCAGAACUGCCUUUGAUACUGAGGAUCUUGAGUUCGGGAGAGGUGAGUGGAACUGCGAGUGUAGAGGUGAAAUUCGUAGAUAUUCGCAAGAACACCAGUGGCGAAGGCGGCUCACUGGCCCGAUACUGACGCUGAGGCACGAAAGCGUGGGGAGCAAACAGGAUUAGAUACCCCGGUAGUCC